GGCACCUGCGUGUGUGUGUGUGUGUGUGUGUGUGUGUGUGUGUGUGUGUGUGGAGGUGGAGCUGGGGGAAGAGGCCAUACCCCCCCACCCA
This 91-nucleotide microRNA precursor is filed under the name Ochotona princeps (American pika). RNAcentral describes it as "miRNA (ENSOPRG00000017397.1)". The record is from RNAcentral. Lineage: Eukaryota; Metazoa; Chordata; Mammalia; Lagomorpha; Ochotonidae.